This 256-nucleotide long non-coding RNA is filed under the name Elaeis guineensis (African oil palm). Its description in RNAcentral is "long non-coding RNA (EGUI_LNC027875)". The record is from RNAcentral. Lineage: Eukaryota; Viridiplantae; Streptophyta; Magnoliopsida; Arecales; Arecaceae.
UCCCAAAUUUUUUUAGUUGAAUUGCAUGUGAAAAUGUGAUUAAAUUCAUUAGUAUUCAAUGCAAAAUAUAAAAUAUUCAUGGCAUUAGCAUUGAACUGAGCUAUUUUCUUAUCAAUUUUAUCCCAUUUACCUUCCGGCUUAGAGAGAGAUACACCAUCAAUUAAUUUAGUGGAUGUGUGUGAUUCAUUUACUAUGACACUCCACAUAUCAUAGUCAAGUGCUUCUAUGAAAAUUCUCAUCUAAGCUUUUCAAUAGG